UACGGAGGGUGCGAGCGUUGUCCGGAAUCAUUGGGCGUAAAGCGCGCGUAGGCGGCCCGGUAAGUCGGAUGUGAAAUCUCACGGCUCAACCGUGGAACUGCAUUCGAAACUGUCGGGCUAGAGGCAGGUAGGGGAGAGUCGGAAUUCCCGGUGUAGCGGUGAAAUGCGCAGAUAUCGGGAGGAACACCGGUGGCGAAGGCGGAUCUCUGGGCCUGUCCUGACGCUCAGGCGCGAAAGCUAGGGGAGCGAACAGG
This 254-nucleotide ribosomal RNA is filed under the name uncultured bacterium. RNAcentral's name for it is "partial 16S ribosomal RNA". It matches the Rfam family "Bacterial small subunit ribosomal RNA", at positions 524 to 776 of the family's 1533-position model. The record is from RNAcentral.